AUGGCCGGCGCCCCUGAAUCGCGUGGCUCUGGCGUCCGCCGCAUACCAUUGAGGCGCGUUUGGGCGUCAACUUCAAGUUCUUCUUGCCCUUGCUGCUGCGACAAUUCUCACUGGGGGAGGAAGGACAAAAAAGUUGUAGCGAAGCUGAAGCUCGACCUCUUUGUCAAAUCCUUGAAGUCUGGAGCCAUGUUAGGUGAUGCGUUGGGGGAUGAUGAUCAGAGUGUGUCCGGUGAUUCCAUGUCUGAAUGGCGGUCCUGCGACCAGAUCGACAAUGGGAGCCCGUCGACGUCCCCUCCCUUCUGGGACACUGAUGGCGAAGAUGAUGAUCCUGGGCCCUGUCCUUCAAAUUUAUUCGGGCGACAUACUUGGAGAAUUCAGAACUUCUCAAAGGAGAAGAAGAGAGAAAUGAAAAGUGAACCAUUUGAAGCUGGUGGUUUUAAGUGGUAUAUUCUAGUUUACCCUCAAGGGUGUGAUGUCUCCAAUCACUUGUCACUGUUUCUAUGUGUUGCUGAUCAUGACAAACUCCUUCCAGGAUGGAGCCAGUUUGCACAGUUCACCAUAGCUGUGGGCAAUCUUGAUCCUAAGAAAGUUAAAUAUUCUGACACCUUGCACAAAUUCUGGAAGAAGGAGCAUGAUUGGGGAUGGAAGAAGUUCAUGGAGUUGUCAAAGAUCCAAGAUGGUUUUCUUGUUAAUGAUGUUCUCGAAAUCAUAGCCCAAGUUCAAGUUAUUAGGGAGAAAGUGGACCGCCCGUUUCGUUGCCUUGAGCGUCCUUAUCGACGAGAAUUACUCCGUGUCUAUAUGACAAAUAUAGAGCAAAUUUAUCGUCGCUUUGUUGAAGAACACAGAAGUAAACUUAGCAACCUCAUUGAGGACAAAAUGAGAUGGUCCGGUUUUUGUGCUUUCUGGCUUGCAAUUGACACAAGCACAAGAUAUCGCAUGUCCAGAGAGAAGAGCGACGUCAUAUUGAAAAUAAUUGUGAAGCAUUUCUUUGUAGAGAAAGAGGUCACUUCAACACUAGUUAUGGACUCCCUGCAUACGGGGCUGAAGGCACUUGAGCACCAGUGCAGGGGAAAGAAAGGUAGAGGAAAAUUAAUGGACUUGGAGGAGUUAUCUGCGCCUAUGGUCCAUGUUGACAUGGACACAUUUGCUUUAGCUGGUGAUGUCCUAGCUUUGCUUGAGAGGGCAGCUUUAGAACCCUUGCCUUGUCAACCUCUAUCUCCAAAGGAUGACAAAUGUUCCCAGAGCCGCACUAAGGCUGGUAGUUCUGGCGAAGUUAAAGUUUCAAUUGAGCAUGAAGAAAAGCGCCUAACUGAGUUUGGUCAGAAGAUACUUGAAACAUUUGCUCUAUCUCAUAUAUUUAGUGGGAUUGAGGUCGCUUAUCAAGAAGCUGUCUCUUUGAAGAGGCAAGAAGAGCUUAUUCGUGAAGAGGAAGAAGCUGGGCUCCUUGAAAGUGAGAUGAAGGGGAAGCGCAACAAUACCACUGAAAAGGAGAAGCGUGCAAAGAAAAAACAGGCCAAACAAAAAAAGAACAAUCGGAAGGUUAAAGACAAGGAUAGAGAGGAAAAAUCUGAUUCAAAUUUUGCAGAGAAGGAUCAAGAUGAAAGCACAAUUCAUGAUAGUGAGGAUUCUAAGCAGGCAGGACAAGUAGCCAUGAAAGUUGAUACCUCCGAAGAAGGUGCUUCAGACAUCUCAGACAAUUUAGAUGGAUCAGCUGAGGCAUGUCAAACUGAUGCAGGUGACAAAAUUGCACAACCUGUGAAUGGGGUCAAUGAUGUUGGUAUUGAGACGAAAAAUGUGCAUACUGGGAAGAACUCUACUGUGGAGCACAAGCCACUGCCGUGUUUAUCGGAAUCUGCUACUAUGAACAUUAUGCAAGGCAAAAGAAAUAACUUGCUAGACAGUUCUGGUCAGAAAUCACUUCAUAGAGGGAAAACUCAACGGACGAGGGUCAUAAGCAGCAAGAACGUUCCCAAAGAUGAGGAUGAUCUCCCCUCUAGCACUACAGGUGGUUCAGACCGCAAUACAUCUGGCUGUGGACCAGCACCAAAGCCUGAUCAGGAGACUGUUCUAAUCACCUUAAAAGAUAAGCUUCGGAAGCUUGGGACACGCCUACAUGAGAAGGAAAAUGAGGGCAGGAAACUAGAGGGACAUUUGGAAAAGAAAGCAGCAGCUGAGGCAGUGUCCUCAUCAUCCUCAUCCAGUUCUUUGGAAAAGACUCCUAAUGUUGUGAACAGACCAGAGCAACCUUCCGUGACUAGUCCUGAUGCAAGUAUGUAUGCACCACCUCAUUCUCAACCUGUAAUCACCAAUGGUGCUAAUGGAGCCAUUCCAGCAAAGCCCAAAACCACUGUAAGCACAAAAUCUGGACCUACUGUUGCUCCAAGUAAGGUCAAACCAGCUUUGAAUCUGAAAAUAGAUAGAGCUACUUCAGUCACCCCAAGAUCGCUGCCAGUUGAUAAAGCUGCUACACUUCCUUCAAGCUUGUCGCUAGCAAACAAAGCUAUUCCAGUUCCCCCCCAAUCGUCUGCACCAUGGGUUGCUAAGGCCGCAAAAGGUAUUCCAGCCCCCCCAAAACCGUCUGCACAGGCUAAUAAGGUUACUAAAGCUGCUCCAGUUCCCCUGAAGUCACCUACACCACAGGUUGAAAAAGUUGCUAAAGCUAUUCCAGCUCUGUCUAAUUCACCUGCACCUCAGGUUAAUAAGGUCGCGCCACCUAAUGCAGCGCUACGGCAGUUGCCUUUGGUGUCUUAUUCAGAAGCUCGAAAAAGUGCAGUUCCUAAAAAGAUUGUUGGCACUUCUGUUCCGCGAACUUCUACUGCAGUAUCAAGGCCUUCAAGUGCUCCUCUGUUCCAGGUACCAAGGUCAACUUUGCCACCCAUACCCGGAGCUCAAGUUCCCCCAUCACAGUCACGUUCGUUGACUGCAUCUAGACGAUCCAGCAAUGAGCCCUCUGCUCCUGUGCCAAGUUAUGUACCGCAGUCCUACCGAAAUGCCAUCAUCGGUAAGGGUAGUCUUGAUACUACCUUGUCAAGUUCUGAUAAGGUAACCUCUACAGGCCAAAGCGAUGCGAUUUCUCAGCCACUAUCAGCAUAUGCAUUGGGAACAUCUGCCAUGUUGCCUCCUGUUGGAAGGAAUGGCCAGUUACCCGGUAAUCAAGGAUUCAUAUCUGGGCAGGGCAAGUUGGAUACCCUUGAUAGCUGGCACCCAUGGAAAGGUAUUAGUGAUGCUAAAGAACACAUGCCGAGGGAUGAUACUACAUACCAACAGAUGACCAAUGGUGAUGCGCGCAUACGCCCAUGGAGUGACAAUUCUUAUCAGCAAGCAAGCAACAGUGGAACAGAAGAACAAGGCAGAUUUGGGGGAAUUCAACAUAGGCAGUUCCAGAGUGAGAUUCCUACAAAUUUUGACUCACACCAGCUGCAGGGUUCAGUGGGGGAGGAAUUCCCGCAUCUUGGCAUCAUCAAUGACUUACUUGAGGAGGAACAAAGCAAUGUGAGCAUGGAAGAGCCUCCUAUCCAUGAAUACCAUCCAUUUGGCUUGCCAUUUUCUCCCGGAGGCAACUUCGCAGAGGCUGACAUGACUUCGUCAAGUAGUUCUGGCCAGUUGAACUUGAACGGCCAUUACUAUGACAGGCUGAAUGCUCUACACAGGCUGGGAGAGGGGCAAUUUUCCACAUUGGGUGCUUAUUCCAAUGGAAUGGCGGACUCUUUUUCAUCCAAGCCUUGGCUGUAUAGCUAUCCUAAUCCAAUGGUGAAUCCUGGAGUUAACGGGUUUUCACAGCAGAUGGGGGACUACACCAAUUAUGCAAGUGGGAGAGCGAAUGAGGAAUACAUGUAUCGCCGUGCCAACGGUCAAUGGUGA
This 3861-nucleotide ribosomal RNA is filed under the name Triticum aestivum (bread wheat). RNAcentral's name for it is "partial small subunit ribosomal RNA". Lineage: Eukaryota; Viridiplantae; Streptophyta; Magnoliopsida; Poales; Poaceae. The record is from RNAcentral.